GAUGAACGUUGGCGGCGUGCCUAAUACAUGCAAGUCGAACGAAGAGCUUAAAGUAGCAAUACUUUGAUAACUCUUAGUGGCGAACGGGUGAGUAACGCGUUGGUGACCUGCCCCAAAGAUAGGGAUAACAGUUCGAAAGGACUGCUAAUACCUAAUGUUAUCAUUUGGCUUAGAUGCCUUUUGAUUAAAGGAGCUUGCUCCACUUUGGGAGGGGCCUGCGUCCCAUCAGCUAGUUGGUAGGGUAAUGGCCUACCAAGGCUAUGACGGGUAGGGGACCUGAGAGGGUGGCCCCCCACAAUGGAACUGAAACACGGUCCAUACACCUACGGGUGGCAGCAGUAGGGAAUAUUGGUAAUCUGCGAAAGCGGGAACCAGCAACGCCGCGUGCGCGAUGAAGGCCUUCGGGUUGUAAAGCGCUUUUCGGGAGGAAGAGGAAGGACUGUACUCCCGGAAUAAGUCUCGGCUAACUACGUGCCAGCAGCCGCGGUAAUACGUAGGAGGCUAACGUUAUCCGGAUUUACUGGGCGUAAAGCGCGUGCAGGCGGUUCGUUAAGUUGGACGUGAAAGCUCCCGGCUCAACUGGGAGAGGUCGUUCAAUACUGGCGGACUUGAGGAUGGUAGAGGGAGGUGGAAUUCCGGGUGUAGCGGUGGAAUGCGCAGAUAUCCGGAGGAACACCAGUGGCGAAAGCGGCCUCCUGGACCACUCCUGACACUCAGACGCGAAAGCUAGGGUAGCAAACG
This 741-nucleotide ribosomal RNA is filed under the name uncultured bacterium. Its description in RNAcentral is "bacterial SSU rRNA". It matches the Rfam family "Bacterial small subunit ribosomal RNA", at positions 28 to 774 of the family's 1533-position model. The record is from RNAcentral.